GCCUCCGUAGCUCAGUCGGUAGAGCAGCGGAUUCUUAAUCCGCGGGUCGAAGGUUCGAGCCCUUCCGGAGGUACCA
This 76-nucleotide transfer RNA is filed under the name bacterium. Its description in RNAcentral is "tRNA-Lys". It matches the Rfam family "tRNA". From Rfam's summary of the family: Transfer RNA (tRNA) molecules are approximately 80 nucleotides in length. The record is from RNAcentral.